Small nucleolar RNA from Gadus morhua (Atlantic cod), 88 nucleotides. The record is from Ensembl. Lineage: Eukaryota; Metazoa; Chordata; Actinopteri; Gadiformes; Gadidae.
AUUUUCUUAUGAUGUCUUUGCACUGGGCUCUGAAACUCUGUGGAUAGCGUGCCUCUCUGGACUUGACAAUCCAGAGACUGAGGAUAAC